UGUGUGGGGUGGGUGAGUGGAUGCUAUGGACUGAAUUUUAGGGGAAAGUUUACUAGAAUGAAAAGCGCCCGCGAUCACUACAACUCUGCUCCCACCACCCCUCCAUCUUGGCCCUGGGGAGGGGGACCAUAAAGCAGAUCAGAGAGGGGAAGGGGCUGGCCUCAGGGUGCACAGCCAGAAAGCGGCCAGGCCACGCUGCCCGGCAGGGACCCUGAGCACCCAGAGCUAGAGUCACCAGGUUUAGCAAAUAAGCAUGUAGGACACCAGUUAAAUCUGAAUUUCAGACAAACGAUGAAUUAGUAUAAGUAUGUCCCGUGUAAUGCUGGGUACAUGCUUGUACUAAAUGCUUUGCUUAUCUGAAAUUGAGAGUUACCUGGGCACUUCGUAUCUUAUUUGGGACAGGGAGGGGUGGGAGAUAGUGGGGUUUCGACUUGGGGUCUCUCAGGCCAGAAAGUCUGUGUUUCAGUCCUGACUACCACUCACUAGUCCCACAACCCCAUUGGGUUACUCACGGCUCAGCCUGGGUUUCCUCCUCGGCCUUGACAUUACCGCCCGCAUAAGGUUGGUGUGAGGAUUCCCUGAGAUGACCUUCUAAAGCCUUCAGCUGGGGGCUGGGCACAGAAAGAACUCAACACGUGCUCCCUCUCUCUUGAGCGAGGUUAACACAGGGCCAGCUGGGUUCUCACACCUGCCAUGGCUUUGAAGCUCUCGCGAGAUCACGCCUCACGUAGCCUCUGGAAAACUCCGUGGAAUGCCUGCCUGCGAGAAGCCGGCUUGACUUGGGUUUCUGUCCUUGUGGACUGAAAUGUUGAACCUGGCCGAGACGUCCUUUUGCCGGUACAGUGCGAUGCUUCACGUAAACCCCAAAGCCAGUCCCUAGUUGGUGGGUUUGAAGUCACAGCUGGAAGCAGAGCUGAGAGCCUCGACCAUCUCCAGCUUCGGUCCAUCUGAGCCCCGCCUCCCCUGUUGGCCCACCUGCGGCUCUGCAGGGAGAGCUCAGUUCUGGACUGUCUGUACCCCAGCUGGUGAGCAGUGACCCAGGCAGUCAGACUCAGUCUCAGCACAGCAGUACGGUGUGACGAGAGCAGCCUGAAGCAGGGCAGCAGGCACCAGAGCGAGGCAGCCCAAGAACCUGCUUCAAAUCCCACCUCCGGCCACCACACGCUGGUGGUGACAGAAAUGGCCGCAGGACACAGGGCACGCUGCCUGCCUGUCCAGCCCCCUGACCACAGCUGGCCGCCUCUGACCACAGAGGGGAAAACACUGGACCCCACCUGAUAAAGAGAGACCCGAGAACGCAACUUCCGUUUUUUAUCUUUGGAUGCUGUGGUGUGAAAGUAUGAUUGCGGGAGCUUAGGCAGCCACCUUGUGACCCAAAGGCGACAGAACCAGAGGCCAAACAAGGUGACAAGGGCAGACGGAAGGAUGGAAACAGCUUGGGCCUCGCAGAGUCUGCAGAGCCUCUGAAAGAAACUGUAUCCAGACUUUCAUUUUGCAGGAAAAAGCCAACUCCUAUCAUCGAAGCCACACCUAAUAAGGUAUGCUGGUACUUGGCACCUUGCACCUUCAGAGAUCUGCUCCUUGUCGUCAAGCAGGAGCAGUCUUUCCUCAGAGGAAAAGGUGGAGAUUAAGGAGAGAAGGGCAGGGCUUCCCUGGUGGCCUGUUGGCUAAGACGCUGAGCUCCCAAUGCAGGGGGCCCUGGGUUCGAUCCCUUGUUGGGGAAGUAGAGCCCACAGGCGGCAACCAAGUGUUCACACGCCACAGCUAAAGAUCCCUCAUGCCACAGAGAAGAUCAGAGAUCUCGAGU
Long non-coding RNA from Bubalus bubalis (water buffalo), 1807 nucleotides. RefSeq lists it as uncharacterized. The transcript is spliced from 3 exons. The record is from RefSeq and is a predicted model, not a curated record. NCBI's taxonomy places the organism in Eukaryota, Metazoa, Chordata, Mammalia, Artiodactyla, Bovidae.